AUUCUGCCCAAGCGGGGAAGGAUGAGAAGCUUCGACCAAGGUUCGACUCGAGCGCCAGCGAGAGAGCGUUGCCGCAGGCAACGACCCGAAG
This 91-nucleotide small RNA is filed under the name Escherichia coli. RNAcentral describes it as "partial RtT sRNA". It matches the Rfam family "RtT RNA", at positions 1 to 89 of the family's 130-position model. Rfam says of the family: This family represents a bacterial cis-regulatory element known as RtT RNA. The exact function of RtT is unknown although it is thought that it may be involved in changing the cellular response in relation to amino acid starvation. The record is from RNAcentral. Lineage: Bacteria; Pseudomonadati; Pseudomonadota; Gammaproteobacteria; Enterobacterales; Enterobacteriaceae. RNAcentral also lists the same sequence under 1 other name.